Molecule: long non-coding RNA, 968 nt
Organism: Lepidothrix coronata (blue-crowned manakin)
Lineage: Eukaryota; Metazoa; Chordata; Aves; Passeriformes; Pipridae
Exons: 3
Source: RefSeq, a predicted model, not a curated record
CAUUGCUGAGCACUGUGAUUUUUUUUUCUACAACCAGGCAGAUUGUUUAAACCACCACAGAGCAGGGGCAGAGCCUGCAAGAAGCUGAGGCAUUUCUAUACAAGACAAUUUGAAGACUUCAGAGAGCACUGGGGGAUCUCUUUGACUCUUGGCAGUGAACAGACUAAACUGAGAAGUACAGAAGUGUGAAAAAAAUUGGGAACUUUCUUCUCGUCCUUUUAUCCUUCAGAAAUCUGACUAUCUGCAAAAACAGAAGAAAAAUCAAAGCACGACAUAAAAGUUUUAGCAUAAGAACAACUGGAUAAGAGCAAAGGUCUCUCAGGCAGAGUCCUACUUCCAGCAGCAGCCAGUGGCAGAGGCGGGAGGAAGAGGAGAGGAACCAGGCUUGUACAUAAAGAUUCCUGUGCUUGGCUGUACUUCUCCAAUCACUGGCUGCCAGCAUGCUUGGACUUCCUUCAGUGGAGACUGCUCUAAGCCAGGAUGUUUCACAGCUCCCUCAUGGCCCUCUCAAAGGAUAGUAUGAGACAAAACAGAGAUGACUAUCAAUGAGAGUAAAGAGUGAUACCUGAAAGAAAAUUCAGGGAGAAAAAUACUCUGAGGCAAUUUAGUUUUGAAGGUGAGACAAGGAAAGGGGUUUUAAUUUUGUGCCUAGGCAUAAGAAUACAAGACACGCACGUGCCCCUCUGUACAGAUGUUACAAUUUAUAAUAUUGUCUGUCCAAUCCCAUGUUUUGUCCACCUGCUGGCUUUUGCCUUGGACCACCCUCAGUCACACCCCUUGGGAACUGGGGAUAGGGUCUCUAAGACCACCUCUUCAUCAAUCUUCAUCUUCUUCGGGGUACAGGGGGCAUAUAUUCACCCACUUCUUGACUGUACUUUUGCAGUUCAGGCCAGGAUUAGAUAUCCUUUAACAGAAGAUGCCUAUCUUAAAGAGAGAUAUUUCUACUGGAAUUUAAGGGGUAGAAUUGA